RNAcentral lists this ribosomal RNA (513 nucleotides) under uncultured bacterium. RNAcentral's name for it is "bacterial SSU rRNA". It matches the Rfam family "Bacterial small subunit ribosomal RNA", at positions 997 to 1509 of the family's 1533-position model. The record is from RNAcentral.
UUUCCAGAGAUGGAUUGGUGCCUUCGGGAACGUCUGAGACAGGUGCUGCAUGGCUGUCGUCAGCUCGUGUUGUGAAAUGUUGGGUUAAGUCCCGCAACGAGCGCAACCCUUAUCCUUUGUUGCCAGCGGUCCGGCCGGGAACUCAAAGGAGACUGCCAGUGAUAAACUGGAGGAAGGUGGGGAUGACGUCAAGUCAUCAUGGCCCUUACGAGUAGGGCUACACACGUGCUACAAUGGCGCAUACAAAGAGAAGCGACCUCGCGAGAGCAAGCGGACCUCAUAAAGUGCGUCGUAGUCCGGAUUGGAGUCUGCAACUCGACUCCAUGAAGUCGGAAUCGCUAGUAAUCGUGGAUCAGAAUGCCACGGUGAAUACGUUCCCGGGCCUUGUACACACCGCCCGUCACACCAUGGGAGUGGGUUGCAAAAGAAGUAGGUAGCUUAACCCUCGGGAGGGCGCUUACCACUUUGUGAUUCAUGACUGGGGUGAAGUCGUAACAAGGUAAGCGUAGAUGA